Molecule: small nuclear RNA, 119 nt
Organism: Dendronephthya gigantea
Lineage: Eukaryota; Metazoa; Cnidaria; Anthozoa; Malacalcyonacea; Nephtheidae
Product: U5 spliceosomal RNA
Exons: 1
Source: RefSeq, a predicted model, not a curated record
AAGCCUUGGUCCUCUUUACACGAAAAAAUCUUUCGCCUUUUAUUAAAGAUUUCCGUGGAGGAGAACAACACAAUGGGCCUAAGGGUAUUUUUUGUCGCCCGUCGAUUUUCCUGGCGGGU